This 316-nucleotide long non-coding RNA is filed under the name Erythranthe guttata (spotted monkey flower). RNAcentral describes it as "long non-coding RNA (EGUT_LNC002580)". Lineage: Eukaryota; Viridiplantae; Streptophyta; Magnoliopsida; Lamiales; Phrymaceae. The record is from RNAcentral.
UUUGACAUUUAUCAAGCGAGUUAGCCUAUUGGGCUAAUCCUGAGUUUAACCCAACAAUUCCGACUUUGAAGCGAUUCGGCGGUCUAAAGGUCGGGUCCGUAAAUGCGGGUUGGCGGUCCAAAGGUCGGGUUGACGGAUGCGGUCGAAAAUAAGUCAUGUAUUGGCAACAAUAAAUAUGUUGCAACGAAAUACAAUUUUGUGUAUGUUGCAACGACAUAAAUUCGUUGUUAUUAAUAAAUAUAUUGGCAACGAUAGAUUUGUGGCAACAAAAUAAAUUCAUUGGUAGUAAUCAAAGAAUUUGCAACGAUAAAUGUAU